Molecule: transfer RNA, 72 nt
Filed under: Bos taurus (domestic cattle)
Lineage: Eukaryota; Metazoa; Chordata; Mammalia; Artiodactyla; Bovidae
Rfam family: tRNA
About the family: Transfer RNA (tRNA) molecules are approximately 80 nucleotides in length. Their secondary structure includes four short double-helical elements and three loops (D, anti-codon, and T loops).
Source: Rfam by way of RNAcentral
UCCCUGAUAACUCAGUUGGUAAAGAAUCUGCCUGCAAUGCAGGAGACCCUGGUUUGAUUCCUGGAUUGGGAA